This 376-nucleotide ribosomal RNA is filed under the name uncultured bacterium. RNAcentral's name for it is "bacterial SSU rRNA". It matches the Rfam family "Bacterial small subunit ribosomal RNA", at positions 524 to 898 of the family's 1533-position model. The record is from RNAcentral.
UACGGGGGGAGCAAGCGUUGUUCGGAAUCACUGGGCGUAAAGGGAGUCUAGGCGGUUUGGUAAGUGGGAUGUGAAAUCCCCGGGCUCACCCCGGGACCUGCAUCCCAAACUGCUGAGCUUGAGUACAGGAGAGGGUGGGGGAAUUCCAGGUGUAGCGGUGAAAUGCGUAGAUAUCUGGAGGAACACCGGUGGCGAAGGCGCCCACCUGGCCUGCUACUGACGCUGAAGCUCGAAAGCUAGGGGAGCAAACGGGAUUAGAUACCCCGGUAGUCCUAGCCGUAAACGGUGAUCACUAGGUGUUGGGAGCAUCGACCCUUCCAGUGCCGCAGCUAACGCAUUAAGUGAUCCGCCUGGGGAGUACGGCCGCAAGGUUGAA